UACGUAGGGACCAAGCGUUGUUCGGAUUUACUGGGCGUAAAGGGCGCGUAGGCGGCACUGCAAGUCAGUUGUGAAAUCUCCGGGCUUAACCCGGAAAGGUCAACUGAUACUGCAGGGCUAGAGUGCAGAAGGGGCAACUGGAAUUCUCGGUGUAGCGGUGAAAUGCGUAGAUAUCGGGAGGAACACCAGUGGCGAAGGCGGCUCUCUGGGCCUUUCCUGACGCUGAGACGCGAAAGCGUGGGGAGCGAACCGG
This 253-nucleotide ribosomal RNA is filed under the name uncultured bacterium. Its description in RNAcentral is "partial 16S ribosomal RNA". It matches the Rfam family "Bacterial small subunit ribosomal RNA", at positions 524 to 776 of the family's 1533-position model. The record is from RNAcentral.